GUCCUCGUCGUUCAACGGAUAGGAUACUUCCCUCCGAAGGAAGUGAUUGUGGUUCGAUUCCACACGAGGACA
RNAcentral lists this transfer RNA (72 nucleotides) under Candidatus Moraniibacteriota bacterium. Its description in RNAcentral is "tRNA-Arg". It matches the Rfam family "tRNA". From Rfam's summary of the family: Transfer RNA (tRNA) molecules are approximately 80 nucleotides in length. Their secondary structure includes four short double-helical elements and three loops (D, anti-codon, and T loops). The record is from RNAcentral. Lineage: Bacteria; Candidatus Moraniibacteriota.